RNAcentral lists this ribosomal RNA (492 nucleotides) under uncultured bacterium. Its description in RNAcentral is "partial 16S ribosomal RNA". It matches the Rfam family "Bacterial small subunit ribosomal RNA", at positions 29 to 507 of the family's 1533-position model. The record is from RNAcentral.
AGUGAACGCUGGCGGGAGGCCUAACACAUGCAAGUCGAACGGCAGCACAGUAAGAGCUUGCUCUUACGGGUGGCGAGUGGCGGACGGGUGAGGAAUACAUCGGAAUCUACUUUUUCGUGGGGGAUAACGUAGGGAAACUUACGCUAAUACCGCAUACGACCUACGGGUGAAAGCAGGGGAUCUUCGGACCUUGCGCGAUUGAAUGAGCCGAUGUCGGAUUAGCUAGUUGGCGGGGUAAAGGCCCACCAAGGCGACGAUCCGUAGCUGGUCUGAGAGGAUGAUCCGCCACACUGGAACUGAGACACGGUCCAGACUCCUACGGGAGGCAGCAGUGGGGAAUAUUGGACAAUGGGCGCAAGCCUGAUCCAGCCAUACCGCGUGGGUGAAGAAGGCCUUCGGGUUGUAAAGCCCUUUUGUUGGGAAAGAAAAGCAGCAGGUUAAUACCCCGCUGUUCUGACGGUACCCAAAGAAUAAGCACCGGCUAACUUCGUG